ACCGCACUUUAGUGUGUGUGGUGGAAAGUUUUUUCGGUACGAGAUGAGCCCGCGGCCUAUCAGCUUGUUGGUGGGGUAAUGGCCUACCAAGGCGUCGACGGGUAGCCGGCCUGAGAGGGUGGACGGCCACAUUGGGACUGAGAUACGGCCCAGACUCCUACGGGAGGCAGCAGUGGGGAAUAUUGCACAAUGGGCGCAAGCCUGAUGCAGCGACGCCGCGUGAGGGAUGACGGCCUUCGGGUUGUAAACCUCUUUCGACAGGGACGAAGCUUUUUGUGACGGUACCUGUAUAAGAAGCACCGGCUACUACGUGCCAGCAGCCGCGGUAAUACGUAGGGUGCGAGCGUGUCCGGAAUUACUGGGCGUAAAGAGCUCGUAGGUGGUUUGUCGCGUCGUCUGUGAAAUUCCGGGGCUUAACUCCGGGCGUGCAGGCGAUACGGGCAUAACUUGAGUGCUGUAGGGGAGACUGGAAUUCCUGGUGUAGCGGUGGAAUGCGCAGAUAUCAGGAGGAACACCGAUGGCGAAGGCAGGUCUCUGGGCAGUAACUGACGCUGAGGAGCGAAAGCAUGGGGAGCGAACAGGAUUAGAUACCCUGGUAGUCCAUGCCGUAAACGGUGGGCGCUAGGUGUGAGGGUCUUCCACGACUUUCGUGCCGUAGCUAACGCAUUAAGCGCCCCGCCUGGGGAGUACGGCCGCAAGGCUAAAACUCAAAGGAAUUGACGGGGGCCCGCACAAGCGGCGGAGCAUGUGGAUUAAUUCGAUGCAACGCGAAGAACCUUACCUGGGCUUGACAUAUACAAGAUCGGCGUAGAGA
This 814-nucleotide ribosomal RNA is filed under the name Corynebacterium sp. RNAcentral describes it as "bacterial SSU rRNA". It matches the Rfam family "Bacterial small subunit ribosomal RNA", at positions 179 to 1006 of the family's 1533-position model. Lineage: Bacteria; Bacillati; Actinomycetota; Actinomycetes; Mycobacteriales; Corynebacteriaceae. The record is from RNAcentral.